UUAUUUACAUGUCAGAGAUCAAGGACCCUCAAGUCUGAUCACAUGUUUACAAAUAUAGUACCGGAGAGACUGCCAGCUCUCAUAUUAACAUCAUCAUCAAGGAUCUGCAAGUCCUGAUGUAAUUGUAUGAUGAGGAUCAAGGAACUUCUGGUCCUGAUCUGCUUACUGUAAAAAACUCAUCAUACAGCACAUUUAGUCCAUAAAAUAAAUUGCUGGUAAAUAAAUUACUGGUAUAGACGAUAAACCCGCACCACACUUUAAAUAAAUGUAAAUGUGCGGUAAAUUAAAUUCAUAAAGUUAAGGUGCUUGUAUGGGCAUUAAUUCUGCUCCAUACAUUUAAAUAAAAGUAAAGGCGUGGACGAUAAACCCGCACCACCCUUUUAAAUAAAUACUGUUGUAUGAGUAAUAAACCUACACCAUACAGUAAAUAAAAUAAAUGUGCGGUAAAGUAAAUUCAUAAUUUAAAUUGCUUGCUGUAUGGACGUUAAUCCCGCACCAUACCUUAAAUAAAAUUAAAUGUGCGGUAAAGUAAAUGUGCUUGUAUGGGCACUAAUUCUGCUCCAUACAUUUAAAUAAAAGUAAAGGCGUGGACGAUAAACCCGCACCACCCUUUUAAAUAAAUACUGUUGUAUGGGUAAUAAACCUACACCAUACAGUAAAUAAAAUAAAUAUGGGGUUAAAACCACCACUGAACAAGAUAAGGAAAGUGUUAGUAUUAGUAACGGUCUCCCACUGAUAAUAUGUUUAGUAUUACCAAGGGUCCAUUUUUGUUAAUGGUUAGUAAUAGAAAAGCAGAUAAAUAUAAUAUAAUAUAUAUAUAUAUAUAUUAUAG
This 832-nucleotide long non-coding RNA is filed under the name Prunus persica (peach). RNAcentral describes it as "long non-coding RNA (PPER_LNC003802)". Lineage: Eukaryota; Viridiplantae; Streptophyta; Magnoliopsida; Rosales; Rosaceae. The record is from RNAcentral.